CCUGAUGCAGCGACGCCGCGUGAGGGAUGACGGCCUUCGGGUUGUAAACCUCUUUCAGCAGGGAAGAAGCGAAAGUGACGGUACCUGCAGAAGAAGCGCCGGCUAACUACGUGCCAGCAGCCGCGGUAAUACGUAGGGCGCGAGCGUUGUUCCGGAAUUAUUGGGCGUAAAGAGCUCGUAGGCGGUCUGUCGCGUCGGAUGUGAAAGCCCGGGGCUUAACCCCGGGUCUGCAUUCGAUACGGGCAGACUAGAGUGUGGUAGGGGAGAUCGGAAUUCCUGGUGUAGCGGUGAAAUGCGCAGAUAUCAGGAGGAACACCGGUGGCGAAGGCGGAUCUCUGGGCCAUUACUGACGCUGAGGAGCGAAAGCGUGGGGAGCGAACAGGAUUAGAUACCCUGGUAGUCCACGCCGUAAACGGUGGGAACUAGGUGUUGGCGACAUUCCACGUCGUCGGUGCCGCAGCUAACGCAUUAAGUUCCCCGCCUGGGGAGUACGGCCGCAAGGCUA
This 505-nucleotide ribosomal RNA is filed under the name uncultured Actinomycetes bacterium. RNAcentral describes it as "bacterial SSU rRNA". It matches the Rfam family "Bacterial small subunit ribosomal RNA", at positions 382 to 896 of the family's 1533-position model. Lineage: Bacteria; Bacillati; Actinomycetota; Actinomycetes. The record is from RNAcentral.